CUUUGAGGCCAAGCAUUCCGACUGCAGCUUGAUAAUCAUGCUAAGCAGAAUUAGGUCUGGUUAACACUUGGAUGGGAGACCACCUGGUAAUAUCCAGGAGAUUUAAGGC
This 109-nucleotide ribosomal RNA is filed under the name Salvator merianae (Argentine black and white tegu). Lineage: Eukaryota; Metazoa; Chordata; Lepidosauria; Squamata; Teiidae. The record is from RNAcentral.